GACGAACGCUGGCGGCGUGCUUAACACAUGCAAGUCGAGCGGUAAGGCCCUUUCGGGGGUACACGAGCGGCGAACGGGUGAGUAACACGUGGGUGACCUGCCCUCAGCUCUGGGAUAAGCCUGGGAAACCGGGUCUAAUACCGGAUAUGACUCCAUGACGCAUGUUGUGGGGUGAAAGCCUUGUGCGGCUGAGGAUGGGCCCGCGGCCUAUCAGCUUGUUGGUGGGGUGAUGGCCUACCAAGGCGACGACGGGUAGCCGGCCUGAGAGGGCGACCGGCCACACUGGGACUGAGACACGGCCCAGACUCCUACGGGAGGCAGCAGUGGGGAAUCUUGCGCAAUGGGCGAAAGCCUGACGCAGCGACGCCGCGUGAGGGA
Molecule: ribosomal RNA, 378 nt
Filed under: uncultured bacterium
Lineage: Bacteria
Description: bacterial SSU rRNA
Rfam family: Bacterial small subunit ribosomal RNA
Source: RNAcentral